GAAUGCUGACAUCAGUUUUCUUAUCCUGCCAGCUGAACCCAGCAAUGGUCCCUGUGGAACAGCCAGCCAAUCUUCAUCCAAUACGCUGCCUGACCCGUUGAGUUCCUCCAGCUGUUUGUUUUUUGCUCCAGAUUCCAGCCAUCUGCAGUCUCUUGUCUGACCAUGAGGCUUUGCCCUGAGCGAUACAGCUUUGUCCCAUGCACCAAAGGAGUGCCUAGUGUAUAGGUAUACAGCAUUGUCUACUUGACCACUUUCUGACCAUAGAGCAUGCGAAUGGACCUGUGUGCUGUCAGCUGCUUCACAUGUACUCCUGUGCCUGUAUCUGUCAAUCAAGAUGUACUUAUCUAUGAUGAACUGAAUUUCUGUUGAAUGAACUCUUACAUUGAAGACAACUUUAUAAAUAGUUGCCAGGACAGCCUGAAAUUCUGCUUUCAUAUUUAGAAUUAAUUAUUAGAAGCACAUAGGCAGCUAAUGAAAUAUCAUUCAGGAUUGCCUGUCAAAAUGGUGCAGCUCUCCAACUGAUUACAUUGGUCAGGAAGCCCUCCCACCACUUGGUCGAAAACCACUGCAUAAUAUUCAGUAAGAUGGGAGCUUCAGGUCACAAGUAGGAUGAACUGUAGGCUUACACUGUGGAACUCCAGUUGUAUUAGGACUGGUCUAACAUUUGGAUUUCAUUAGAAUUGUCAGGUGGCAAAAAGAAGAUAUCUCAUUCAAAUUUCCCUUCUACAAACUAUCUGCAAGAAAUGCUUCUCCAGUUUUUUUUUGUAGGGAGGAAAUGGCAAAAAACUGGAACGAAUGAUGGUCCAAAGAAAUAUAAAUUCCUAUAAAGACCGAUCAUUAAAUAUCAUGGAUAGGUACAAAGGCUGAUGAAAUAGUAGUUAUUCUCCAGUGAUAUACAUUUUUUGUUAGAUCACAAGUGGAGUACUGGGGCAGUUCAUUGCACCAGACCUUAAGAAGGGCAUUUUGACCAUGGAGGGAGCACAAUAUACAUUUUUUAGAAUGAUAUCUGAGCUCUGUGUUAAAUUAUAAUGAGAAAUUACACAAAAUAGGAUUAAAAACAAAACUGCAGAUGCUGGAAACCUAAAAUAAAAGUAGACAAUGGUGGAAAUAUUCAGCAGGUCAGGUAGCAUCUAUGGAGAUAUAUCUAGAUUUAAUAUUUCAAGUCAAUGAUUUUUCAUUAGUACAUGUCAUCAACCUGAAACAUUAGUUCUGUCUCUCUCUCUCCCUCUCUCCAUAGAUGCUGUCUAGCCUGCAGAGCAUUUUCAUCAUUUUCUAUUGUUAUUACACAAACUUGAAUUGCAUGCCAUAGUUUUUUUAGAAGGUUAUAGGUAAUUUGACUAAGUUUUGAAGACAAGAGGGGAGCUGUUACUGUAAUUAAUUUAUGUCACUUGAUGAAUGUAGAACUGGGGGUAUCGCCUGAAAAGUACAUAGAACAAAGAACAUAGAACAGUACAGCACUAGAACAGGCCCUUCGACCCACAAUGUCUGUGCUGAUCCUGAUGCCAAAUUAAACUAAUCCCAUCUGCGUGCACAAGGUCUAUAUCCCUCCAUUCCCUGCCUGUUCACGUGUUGUCUAAAUGCCUCGUAAAUGUUGCUACCGUAUCUACUUCCACUCCUUCCUUUAACAUAUGAGGAGUGUUUGAUGCCUUUGGGCCUGUUCUUGAUAAGAGUUCAGAAGGAUGAAGGGAAAUCUCAUUGAAACCUGCUGGAUACUGAAAGGCCUGGAUAGAGUGGGUGUAAAGAGGAUGUCAACCAGGAUCUCACUGAAUGAUGGAACAGCUCGAAAAGCGCUCCCUUCAGCCAUUGCUUUGAAUUAGAUGAAGGAAAAUGGAAACACAUCAAAUGUGCAAAGUUUAGACAAGGGGCAGCAUAACCCAUGUGUUUAGUAAUUGGUGCCCAGGUGCAGAAGGAGAAGGCUGAAAAAACCCCAGAGAUUCCAGAUGUCAGAAUGUAACUUCAAGAAGAAUCACCGAUUCAACUGAAAACAAACUUGCAGAAGGCCCAGGGACCUGUUACACAGUUAUACCUUCCUUGUGGGCCAAUCCAGUGGCAGCUACCUCUCUUCAUGCAUCAAGCCAGAGGUUGUGGUACAUAUUGGCACCAACGACAUAGGUAGGAAAAGGGAUGAGGUCCUGAAAAAAGACUAUAGGGAGUUAGGAAGGAAGUUGAGAAGCAGGACCGCAAAGGUGGUAAUUUCAGGAUUACUGUCUAUGCCACGCGACAGUGAGUAUAGGAAUAGAAUGAGGUGGAGGUUAAAUGCGUGGCUGAGGGAUUGGAGUGAGGGGCAGGGAUUCAGAUUUCUGGAUCAUUGGGGCCUCUUUUGGGGCAGGUAUGACCUGUACAAAAAGGACGGGUUGCACUUGAAUCCCAGGGGGACCAAUAUCCUGGCGGGGAGGUUUGCUAAGGUACUGGGGAGAGUUUAAACUAGAAUUGUUCGGGGGUGGGAUCCGAACUAGAGAGACUGGGGAAGAGGUGUUUGGCUCUCAAUUAGAGAAAGCUUGUAGUAGGUAUGAGAGGGAGGAUAGGCAGGUGACAGAAAAGGGACGUGCUCAGACCGACGGUUUGAGAUGUGUCUAUUUUAACGCAAGGAGUAUUGUGAACAAGGUGGAUGAGCUUAGAGCUUGGAUAAAUACUUGGAGCUACGAUGUGGUGGCCAUUACAGAGACUUGGAUGGCUCAGGGACUGGAAUGGUUACUUCAA
This is a long non-coding RNA of Pristis pectinata (smalltooth sawfish), 2700 nucleotides long. RefSeq lists it as uncharacterized. NCBI's taxonomy places the organism in Eukaryota, Metazoa, Chordata, Chondrichthyes, Rhinopristiformes, Pristidae. The transcript is spliced from 4 exons. The record is from RefSeq and is a predicted model, not a curated record.